GUAAGAAAUUAUGGUCGAACAGACCAAUUUUUUUAACUUCUGCAUUAAAAAUAAUCUUAAUCCAACAUCGAGGUCGCAAUCUAUUUUGUCGAUAUGAUCUCUCAAAAAUAAUAACGCUGUUAUCCCUUAAGUAACUUAAUCUUUUAAUCACAAUUUAUGGAUCAAUUCAAUUAUUUUUGAAAAAAAGUUAAUUAAAUUUUCCUAUCACCCCAAUAAAAUAUAAUAUAAAGCUUUAAAGGAUCUUCUCGUCCUUUAAUAUUAUUUAUGCUUUUUAACAUAAAAAUUNAAUUCUAUAACAAUUAAAAUUAGACAGUUUAUAUUUCAUUCAAUCAUUCAUUCCAGCUUNCAAUUAAAAAACUAUUUAUUAUGCUACCUUUGCACAGUCAAAAUACUGCUCCCUUUUUCAAUGGGCAGAUUAGACUUUAAAUA
This 429-nucleotide ribosomal RNA is filed under the name Xenopsylla conformis conformis. Its description in RNAcentral is "partial 16S ribosomal RNA". Lineage: Eukaryota; Metazoa; Arthropoda; Insecta; Siphonaptera; Pulicidae. The record is from RNAcentral.